This 458-nucleotide ribosomal RNA is filed under the name uncultured bacterium. RNAcentral describes it as "partial 16S ribosomal RNA". It matches the Rfam family "Bacterial small subunit ribosomal RNA", at positions 338 to 795 of the family's 1533-position model. The record is from RNAcentral.
CCUACGGGAGGCAGCAGUGGGGAAUAUUGCACAAUGGGGGAAACCCUGAUGCAGCGACGCCGCGUGAGUGAAGAAGUAAUUCGUUACGUAAAGCUCUAUCAGCAGGGAAGAAAUACUGACCUUACGGUCAGCAGACGGUACCUGAGUAAGAAGCCGCGGCUAACUACGUGCCAGCAGCCGCGGUAAUACGUAGGGGGCAAGCGUUAUCCGGAUUUACUGGGUGUAAAGGGAGCGUAGACGGUGCACCAAGUCUGGUGUGAAAUGCCGCAGCUUAACUGCGGAACUGCUGUGGAAACUGGCGAACUAGAGUUCGGGAGGGGUAAGCGGAAUUCCUAGUGUAGCGGUGAAAUGCGUAGAUAUUAGGAGGAACACCGGUGGCGAAGGCGGCUUACUGGAGCGUAACUGACGUUGAGGCUCGAAAGCGUGGGGAGCAAACAGGAUUAGAUACCCUUGUAGUC